GCCCACAUAGCUCAGUCGGUAGAGCGCGUUCUUGGUAAGAACGAGGUCUCCGGUUCAAAUCCGGAUGUGGGCUCCA
RNAcentral lists this transfer RNA (76 nucleotides) under Chloroflexota bacterium. RNAcentral's name for it is "Chloroflexi bacterium tRNA-Thr". It matches the Rfam family "tRNA". From Rfam's summary of the family: Transfer RNA (tRNA) molecules are approximately 80 nucleotides in length. Lineage: Bacteria; Bacillati; Chloroflexota. The record is from RNAcentral.